CGUGGAGGAUGACAGCCUGUGGGUCGUAAACUCCUUUUCUCAGAGAAGAAGUUCUGACGGUAUCUGAGGAAUAAGCAUCGGCUAACUCUGUGCCAGCAGCCGCGGUAAGACGGAGGAUGCAAGCGUUAUCCGGAAUGAUUGGGCGUAAAGCGUCUGUAGGUGGUUUAUUAAGUCUACUGUUAAAGAUCAGGGCUUAACCCUGAGUCGGCAGUAGAAACUAAUGAGCUUGAGUACGGUAGGGGCAGAGGGAAUUCCCGGUGUAGCGGUGAAAUGCGUAGAGAUCGGGAAGAACACCAAUGGCGAAAGCACUCUGCUGGGCCGAAACUGACACUCAGAGACGAAAGCUAGGGGAGCGAAUGGGAUUAGAUACCCCAGUAGUCCUAGCCGUAAACGAUGGAUACUAAGUGCUGUGCGACUCAAAACGUCCAGUACUGUAGCUAACGCGUGAAGUAUCCCGCCUGGGGAGUAUGCUCGCAAGAGUGAAACUCAAAGGAAUUGAC
This 500-nucleotide ribosomal RNA is filed under the name uncultured cyanobacterium. RNAcentral describes it as "bacterial SSU rRNA". It matches the Rfam family "Bacterial small subunit ribosomal RNA", at positions 400 to 914 of the family's 1533-position model. The record is from RNAcentral. Lineage: Bacteria; Bacillati; Cyanobacteriota.